RNAcentral lists this ribosomal RNA (439 nucleotides) under uncultured bacterium. Its description in RNAcentral is "partial 16S ribosomal RNA". It matches the Rfam family "Bacterial small subunit ribosomal RNA", at positions 338 to 795 of the family's 1533-position model. The record is from RNAcentral.
CCUACGGGUGGCAGCAGUGGGGAAUAUUGCACAAUGGGGGAAACCCUGAUGCAGCGACGCCGCGUGAGUGAAGAAGUAAUUCGUUAUGUAAAGCUUCAUCAGUAGGGAAGUAAAGGACGGUACCUGAGUAAGAAGCCCCGGCUAACUUCGUUCCAGCAGCCGCGGUAAUACGUAGGGGGCAAGCGUUAUCCGAAUUUACUGGGUGUAAAGGGAGCGUAGACGGCAGUGCAAGUCUGGGGUGAAAGGCGGGGGGUCAACCCCCGGACUCUCUGGAAACUGUACGGCUGGAGUGCAGGAGAGGUAAGUGGAAUUCCUGGUGUAGCGGUGAAAUGCGUAGAUAUUAGGAGGAACACCAGUGGCGAAGGCAGCUUACUAAACUGUAACUGACGUUGAGGCUCGAAAGCGUGGGGAGCAAACAGGAUUAGAUACCCUAGUAGUC